RNAcentral lists this ribosomal RNA (253 nucleotides) under uncultured bacterium. RNAcentral describes it as "partial 16S ribosomal RNA". It matches the Rfam family "Bacterial small subunit ribosomal RNA", at positions 524 to 776 of the family's 1533-position model. The record is from RNAcentral.
UACGUAGGGGGCAAGCGUUGUCCGGAUUUAUUGGGCGUAAAGAGCGUGUAGGCGGCCAGACAGGUCAGCUGUGAAAACUCGAGGCUCAACCUCGAGAUGUCGGCUGAAACCAUCUGGCUAGAGUCCGGAAGAGGAGAAUGGAAUUCCCGGUGUAGCGGUGAAAUGCGCAGAUAUCGGGAAGAACACCCGUGGCGAAGGCGGUUCUCUGGGACGGUACUGACGCUGAGACGCGAAAGCGUGGGGAGCGAACAGG